UACUCGAGUGGCGAACGGGUGAGUAACACGUGGGUGAUCUGCCUUGCACUUCGGGAUAAGCCUGGGAAACUGGGUCUAAUACCGGAUAGGACCAUGCUUUAGUGUGUGUGGUGGAAAGUUUUUCGGUGCAAGAUGAGCCCGCGGCCUAUCAGCUUGUUGGUGGGGUAAUGGCCUACCAAGGCGACGACGGGUAGCCGGCCUGAGAGGGUGUACGGCCACAUUGGGACUGAGACACGGCCCAG
Molecule: ribosomal RNA, 242 nt
Filed under: uncultured Actinomycetales bacterium
Lineage: Bacteria; Bacillati; Actinomycetota; Actinomycetes; Actinomycetales
Description: partial 16S ribosomal RNA
Rfam family: Bacterial small subunit ribosomal RNA
Source: RNAcentral